RNAcentral lists this long non-coding RNA (1691 nucleotides) under Marmota monax (woodchuck). The record is from RNAcentral. Lineage: Eukaryota; Metazoa; Chordata; Mammalia; Rodentia; Sciuridae.
GAAGCUUUCAGAUUCCCGGGCUCAUAUCAGUCCUCACCUGACCCCUGGGGCAGGACCUGAGAGCCUGCAUUUUAAGCAGGUGCCUGGGUGGCUUUAUUCCUACCGUUGACAAGAAUGCCCCAUGUUUUCUUAUUUCCAUCUUUUUAUUCUCACCUUCCCUUUGUUCCUCCCUUACGAGACUUAGCUGACAAGCCACCUACUCCAUGAAGAUUUCUUGGUGGAUCUUCUACCAUACUCCAUAUUCCUCUGAACCAAACUUCCUUCUGUGGCUUUUCUAUUAUGUGGACUGUGCUUUCUACCUUCAGGCCACACCUUUACUUUCCCCUACCUGUCAUGCCCUCAGGAGCGACAUUCUUUUAUAGAGAAGACAAAACUAUGCUUUAAGUGUCCAGUCCUCCUGCUCCUGGAGAAUGGUGAUUGGAGUUGAAGGGCUCCUGUGCACCCAUCUAAGAGGGUCCGUCCUCCCUCAUUUCUCUGUCGCUCCUGGCCCCUAGGCCUGGAAGCAGAGGCCUUGUCCUGGAGCAGUUCCCCCUUCCCCACCACACCUUGCCACUGUUAGGGAACUCACCAAUGUGGGGCAGGAGGCAUGGAAAAGGUGAGCACAAAGGGACUUCCAAGGCACUUCUGCUCCAAACAAGGUAACUGACUUCCUUGGCAUCUCCCGUCACUGAAGAAUCCAAUGUUGAAUGUUGCAGAGAAAAAAAAAUUCUUUUAUUUUGUUUUAUAUUAUGUUAUUUUCUUUUUGCUGUGCUAGGGAUCAAAUCCAGGGCAUCACAUAUCCGAAGCACAUGCUGAGCCACUGAGCUACACCCCUGGCCCCUCUAGAGAAAAACAUUAACUUACUUUCUUUCUUUCUUUUUUAACUGUACUGGGGCUCUAUUGCAGUACACCUGCUCUUCAUGUUCUCUACCACUGAGCUACAUCUCCAACCCUUUUUUCAAAAUUUUAUUUUGAGACAGGACUCAUUAAAGUGCUAAGGAUAGCCUCAAAUUUGUAAUCCUUUUGUUUCAGACUCCCAAGUAGCUGGGAUUGCAGGUGUAUGUCACCAUGCCAGCCCUAAUCAAGAAAAAACUUAGAGUACAAUACAAUUUUUGCCUUUCUAAAACCCUGUGAAAUGCUCAUUGGGGUGUGUGACCUGCAUUUCCUUAAUUUUUCUGAAUACUUAACAGCGCACUGGAAGAAUAAAGAAGUAGGGACCCCUGAGGGAUAUAAGCACUGAAGCCAGGAGGUCAGGGCUUUCCCCAGAUGAUAUAGCUCAUCCCAUGGAAUAAGGGCCAUGCACAAGACAGAUGAGACCAGGGCCUUUGUCGGAGGCCUCACAACCUCAAGUGCCUUCUGAAGGAGGGGCCCCGGGUCCCCUUAGGAGCAUUCUCCCCUGCACCCAGCAGCUUCCCUGGCAAUGGAGAGAAGGAUGUGUACAUCAAAGACUUCAUGGAGAAACAGCAUUUUAAAAGAAGAUGAAGAACACUGAUGGCAGUCGAAGGGGCUCAUAUUUCUAUAGCAAGGACUGUCAGGAGCUCUAUUGUGGCCUGCAGAGCAAGAAUAAUGUCCCAAGUGUAUGAUGGGUAAGGAAAGGCACCAUCAAAGAACCACCAAUUGACCGGAAGGCGGAGAAGGGAAGGAUAGUAACAUUUUGGUAUUGAGAUUUUCACAAGCACACAAGAAUUAUUAGAGAAGGUUGACACAGAGAG